GUCAGAUUUGGACAGCGCUUUCCUCAGACUUGACAGUCCACUUUUCUUUUGGUGGAAUCAUAGGCCUGGCCAAGCAAUAGGAGGAUACCAAGAAGUCGAUUGGGGUUCUCACUGGAGGUGGCAAGGGUAGGCCUAGGCGUCUUGGGAGGUGAGUGGCUGCUUGCACCAUACAGCACCCGCAAGAUGGAGCCUGGGGCUCGAUUGGAGUGCCACGCUGAGGAGGAGUGGUCUUGGAGCCAGAUAGUUGUGGCGAUGGCACCAGAGGAGAGAGUCAGAUGGGUCUUUGGAUGAGGAGUUUUGGCUUUGAGACAUGGUGGUAGACGAGCAAACCAAGAUGCUGAUAAACCGUCAGUGGAUAGACCUUGUUAAUGCAUCAUUUGGUACCUUUUGAGUCCCAAUACGAUAAUGUGGUAUAUUUUGUGUAAAAAUGGGCUAAUACUCUAAAUGUCCAGGUCUCAAGGAGAGGAACUUGCACAAAGCAUUGAUGCCAGAAAGCAGUUAUACAAGAAAACAGCCAAAUGAUACCAGACACACCAAUUCAAGGAAUUCUUUUUAUUUGAGAGGGUGGGUUGGGGGUGUUGGAAGAGGUAGCAGAAAUCCUUCUAAACUGUUUGAGCAAACAGAAAACAUGCGAUAUUAAUAAAGCACUGAAUUGAAAAGGUCUCCAGUGGGUGUUACGCAAAAUUCCCAUUACCGUUUCAAUGAUCACAUCCCUAACCAACACUGCUUCCUUGGCCCUUACUACUUCCCUGGCCAGUCCCUUGACCACUCCCCUGGCCUUGACCGCUCCCCUGGCCAGUCCCGCUUCCUUGACCGCUGCCCUGGCCAAGACCACUUCCCUGACCGCUCCCCUGACCAGUCCCUUGACCGCCCCCCUGGCCAGUCCCACUUCCCUGACCACUUCCCUGGCCUUGACCGCUCCCCUGACCAGUCCCACUUCCCUGGCCUUGACCGCUCCCCUGGCCUGUCCCUUGACCGCUCCCAAGACCAAAACCGCUUCCCUGACCACUCCCUUGACCGCUUCCCUGACCACUCCCUUGACCAUGACCGCUUCCCUGACCAAAACCGCUUCCCUGACCAAAACCACCCCCUUGUCCGCUUCCCUGACCACUCCCUUGACCAUGACCACUUCCCUGACCAAAACCGCUCCCUUGACCAUGACCGCUUCCCUGACCAAGACCACUUCCCUGGCCUUGACCGCUCCCCUGACCAAAACCACUCCCCUGACCGCUUCCCUGACCGCUUCCCUGACCAAAACCGCUCCCUUGACCAAAACCGCUCCCUUGACCAUGACCACUUCCCUGACCGCUCCCUUGACCAAAACCGCUUCCCUGACCAAAACCGCUCCCUUGACCACUUCCCUGACCGCUUCCCUGACCAAAACCGCUUCCCUGACCAAAACCACUUCCCUGGCCUUGACCGCUCCCCUGACCAAAACCACUUCCCUGACCACUACCCUGACCAAAACCGCUCCCUUGACCAAUCCCCUGACCAAAACCCUGGCCAAA
Molecule: long non-coding RNA, 1508 nt
Organism: Cyprinus carpio (common carp)
Lineage: Eukaryota; Metazoa; Chordata; Actinopteri; Cypriniformes; Cyprinidae
Source: Ensembl